Molecule: ribosomal RNA, 558 nt
Filed under: uncultured bacterium
Lineage: Bacteria
Description: bacterial SSU rRNA
Rfam family: Bacterial small subunit ribosomal RNA
Source: RNAcentral
GCUUGCGGCCGAUUAGCUAGUUGGUAGGGUAACGGCCUACCAAGGCAACGAUCGGUAGCUGGUCUGAGAGGAUGAUCAGCCACACUGGAACUGAGACACGGUCCAGACUCCUACGGGAGGCAGCAGUGAGGAAUAUUGGGCAAUGCCCGAAAGGGUGACCCAGCAACGCCGCGUGGAGGAUGAAGGUCGUAAGAUUGUAAACUCCUGUUAGAGGGGACGAAUAGCACCGAUCGACUCGGUGUUUGACUGUACCCUCAGAGAAAGCCCCGGCUAACUACGUGCCAGCAGCCGCGGUAAUACGUAGGGGGCAAGCGUUGUCCGGAUUCACUGGGUGUAAAGGGCGCGCAGGCGGGUUAGCAAGUCAGAGGUGAAAUCCUACAGCUUAACUGUAGAACUGCCUUUGAAACUGUUAAUCUUGAGUGCGGAAGAGAGAGACGGAAUUCCAGGUGUAGCGGUGAAAUGCGUAGAUAUCUGGAAGAACACCAGUUGCGAAGGCGGUCUCUUGGUCCGUUACUGACGCUCAGGCGCGAAAGCGUGGGGAGCAAACAGGAUUAGAUA